This 74-nucleotide transfer RNA is filed under the name Deltaproteobacteria bacterium. RNAcentral describes it as "tRNA-Gln". It matches the Rfam family "tRNA". Rfam says of the family: Transfer RNA (tRNA) molecules are approximately 80 nucleotides in length. Their secondary structure includes four short double-helical elements and three loops (D, anti-codon, and T loops). Further hydrogen bonds mediate the characteristic L-shaped molecular structure. tRNAs have two regions of fundamental functional importance: the anti-codon, which is responsible for specific mRNA codon recognition, and the 3' end, to which the tRNAs corresponding amino acid is attached (by aminoacyl-tRNA synthetases). tRNAs cope with the degeneracy of the genetic code in two manners: having more than one tRNA (with a specific anti-codon) for a particular amino acid; and 'wobble' base-pairing, i.e. permitting non-standard base-pairing at the 3rd anti-codon position. Lineage: Bacteria; Pseudomonadati; Myxococcota; Myxococcia. The record is from RNAcentral.
UGGGGAGUCGCCAAGUUUGGUAAGGCACCGGACUUUGAAUCCGGCAUUCGCAGGUUCAAAUCCUGCCUCCCCAG